CUGGACAUACUGUGGUACGUCAUCUUUAUAUAAGCCACUGGAAACUGUGACCAUGGAUUUGUCUUUUUGUAAAGAAAAAGGAUUGAUUUUACCUCACUCUUGUUAAACUAAGUCAAAUUCUACUGAAGCUUUAACUACAUUCUAUUAUAUGAGUACAGCAUUUCAACUCCUUUAGCCUCUUAGGGACAAACAGGGUGCUGGCUGGUUUACUGCAUCACGUUAUGGUUUUGACUUAGUUGGCUGUCACCUAAUUCUGAAAGCGUUUUACCAAAAUCGUACAAAAUCGUAGCCGCUUAAGCACACCAACACGUUGCAUUAAUUUGAAUGUGUUACACAUGUCGCAACUCAUUUCUCUUUACACCCAGCUCUUCCAACAGGCACAAAACGUAUUGUUUGUAAUUUAUGUUUACUGCUAACUUAUCUGGCAGACACAUACUUGUCAGUAAAUUAUUUAAUGGAAAGGCUGCAGCAAUCAGGAAUAGACAUGUGAAACGUUGUUGAAAGUGUU
Long non-coding RNA from Etheostoma spectabile (orangethroat darter), 508 nucleotides. RefSeq lists it as uncharacterized. NCBI's taxonomy places the organism in Eukaryota, Metazoa, Chordata, Actinopteri, Perciformes, Percidae. The transcript is spliced from 3 exons. The record is from RefSeq and is a predicted model, not a curated record.